UCUCAAGAUGAAAAUAAUUGUAGUACUAAGACAUCAUCGUUGAGGUUGAGAUUCAAGAAUUCGUGUUUGAGGAAGAAAAAGAGAAUAUACAAAUUGCGCAAUUGGUUCAUUGACUCAAUUUUAUUCAAGAUUGCCUCUCUCUUUGAAGCAAUUGUUAUGGUUUCUACCUUAGCUUUCUUCUUAUUCUCUUAUGGUUUUCGUAUUUGAUUCGUAUUUAUAUUUUUAUAUAUAUUCUCUGUAAACCAAGGGUUCAUUAUUAUUGGACAAAAGUUGAUAUCUAAUAGGGGUAUAAGGUUCAUUUGAUUUAUUAAUUUAGUUUUCUUUAUUGAUAUUCUCAUGUUUAUACACUAGGAUUCCCAUUUUGCCGUUUAGUUUUUCGAUUUAGAUAUUUUCAAUAAAAUACAUAAUUCAAUAAAUAAGUAAAUAACAUAUAUAAUGAGAUUUUAACAUCAAAAUAUGAGAUUUUGAUUGGUAAAUGGUAAGAUUUUCAAGAACUCAAAUUUUUAGCUUAAAUGGAGAUUUUGACCUCCAAGUAGGUCCCUUUUCAAAAUAAUUUUUCACCAAUGAGUUUCUAAAGUUUUGAGUAUUGCUUUCAAGUAUUAAAUUUCGGAUUCAAACUUUUCCUUUUGAAAUUGGGUUUGAGUGAGUUGACCCAUUGUGCUAAGCAAUUGAUGUGGGUAUUGUUGUUUCCGGAAAGUGAUUGUGGAUACUUGCUUGUAUAUUGAUUGAUUUAAGACAAGCGAUCUCCUAAACCUUGUAUUCUAGUAGAAUCGUGUAUUCCCUUUGUUGUUUGUGUAUUGGAAAUAAUGGGGAUGGGGUGAAAGGUUAAUUGUCCACUUGAUAAAUCUUAAUGGAUAGAAAGGGUUGAAAUUGAAAAGGUUAUGUGAUGAACAAGAUGAUGUGAAUUGCCUUGUUGUGACCCUUAUUGAUUGAUUGAUGAAAUGCUUGAUAGCAUAAAUGUGGACUUGAUUUGCAUGAAUUAUUGUCUCUUCCAUGUGGUGUGAUAUUGCGUGUGUGCAUUGAUGGUUGAACACUGUGAUGUGGCAUGUGAUGUUUAUGAUUCUGAGGUCAUCGCCGGUGAGUGCUAUUAUUCCUAGGUCAUUUCCGGCAAGUGUUGUGAUUCCAAAGUCAUUUCCGGCUAGAGGAUUGAUAUAAAACCGAUGGAAAAUGGUUCCGGCUAGAGAUAUGGUACCGAUGCUACUUGAUUCGUUUGAUUGUUGAAUUGUGACUAUUGAACUGUAAUUAUUGAGCCUUGCGAGUUGUGCAUUGUAGAACUGCUAGGUUGGGCUGAUUUCUGUGAAAGUUGUAGUAUGAGGAGGUUCGAUUGGAAUGUAAGGGGUAUUCAAUUUCUAGGUAGAUGCCUUGUUUAUUAGGUUGCACUCCUUAUUUCUACACUUGUGUAGGUUCCGAGCCCGGUUUAGCGUGAUCGUCCUUCUUCUCUUACCUUUUUAGGCUUAUCAAAGGACUAUCGAGAGUAACUUUUGUCAUCCCGGCGGGCCCUCUUUUCCUUUUCUUUAAGCUUUGUUCUAAUUGAGAAUCAAAGAUUGAGAUUUGUACUUAUUUCUUAAUUUCACACUUUAUGUAUUUAGUGGUUUGUACACGUGACAACAAGAUUUUGAGGGUUUUAAUAGAAAAAAUAAGUUUUUCUGUUUUAUCUUGUUCUUGCUUUAUUAUUUUCCGCAUUUCUUUCAUUUUCGUUGGGUUGAGACUAACUUGUCUUGGUGGGAAUAUACAAGUGUCCUCGCGUCUAUGUUUGGGUCGUGACAUCAUCAUAGAGUAGUUCCUUAAAUCAUGAUUCAUACAUGUGUGAGAAAACUAUUGACCAAUCAAGAUUUCUUAAUAUGUGAGAAAACAUUUCACAAUUCAUGCAUAUGUGAGAAAACCUUUCAUCGAUGAUUUUCUUAAAGGCAACCUUAAUUCAUAAAACUUAAGCAUAUAGCAUGAGAGUUGAGUAAUUUGAAGGAAAAAAAUGUGUUUGCAACAAAAGUAGAAAUUCAUAUCUUCCCAAUAAAUUAAAUUAGGAAAAAGGAAUAAAGAAGAAUAAAUUAUAGUGUUGACACUAUACAUCUCAACUUAGGUUAGUACAUAAUUAACACAUUUAAUCAUCGUUUAUAAUGUUUUGAACCUGUUAUUAUCAUUUCAAAGUAUAUAGCCGCUAAUAGUACUUAUUAUUAUUAUUAUUAUCAACAAAUUAAAGAGAGGGUCUCCAUAGGCAGAUUUUUGAUAGAAUUUAUUACUAGCUAAUAUCCCCAAGUUAUUUUUAUUUGUUAAUUUAUUACAUAAGAUAAAUUUAUUUUAUUUUCAAAAUAAAAAUCUCACUUUUUAUGAAAAUUAUUUAUAACUAUAUUCUAGAUAACUUGAUGAUAUAAUAAUUUUUUUAAAAUAUAUAUAUUAAUCUAUGAUAUUACAAGUAAAUAUUAUUUUUUUCUAUUUGAGCAACAAAUAGAAUAAAGAUAUAUUAAUUUACACAAUCUCAAAAUUUUGAUGUGAGGGCAGAUAUGGUAAAGUUGAUAAUAUAAGAUAUAACAGUAGUUUUUGUUGGGAAAGGCAAGGCACUAUCAAAGAAUGCUCGGAAGGAUAGCAGCGGAAAAAUAUCAAAGUCUAAACUUUCCCUUACAAUUUGAAUCAAUAGAAGAAAAAACUAAAUCAAUCAAUACGAAGAAUCGACAACAAGUAUAUCAACCAAACAAAAACAAUAAGAUAAGAAUAAAUCAAUCACACAAGACACAAAGAUUUACAUGAAAAACUCUUCGAUGUGAAGAGUAAAAAAUCACAGGACCAAAAGCUCCACUAUAACCCCAAGAGUUGCAAUAUUGUUCUCCAAAAUUGGCCACAAAAGAAGUGCCAAAUAACUAGCAAUAACGAAAUAAGAUUGCACCAAAACUAGAGAAUUAAAGGAGAGAAUCCACUAAAAAAGAGCUAUUGUUCACACCCCAAAAUCAAAAGCUACAGAUAACUAAAUCUAAUCUCCACCGUUGAAAUACAAGAAUUAUAUAGUGAAAACUCCCGGUUCAAAUUUGUGUACGAUCCAACGGUUAACGAAGUGAAGUACUCUGUUUAAAGUGGACUGCCUGUGCAGAAAAUUCCUUGAAGCAAAAACAUGAUUUUUCUCUUUCUCUCAAUCUCUAAAACAACUCUCUCUUGACUUUUUUCUCUCAUUUGUCUCAAAAUAAUACCUAAAUAAGCCUUAUAUAUGCCACAUAAUAUUGGUAUUAUGGGUUAAAGUGGCUGGUCUAAAUAAGACUUUUAUUUAUCCACACCGAAAAGAAAAAAGAUCCUAAAUCCAACAAUUCUCCGCCUCACAACUAUGUGGAGGAGACCGCCAUCCUGGCGAUCAAGCAACAUUCUUUAAACUUCCCUCUUAGCAAAACUUUAGUCAUCAUGUCAGACCCAUUUUCAUCUGUAUGAAUCUUUUCAAACUCAAGCAACUUAGAAUCCAACACAUGUCAAAUCCAAUGGUACCUUACAUCAAUGUAUUUAGACCGACCAUGAAACAUAGAAUUCUUGCCAAGAUGAAUAACUCUUUGACUGUCGCAAUAAAGCACAUACCUCUCUUGAGCACAACUAAGUUUUCCAAAAAUCUCUUCAUCUAGAUCAACUCUUUGCAAGCUUCUACAAAAGCAAUAAGCUCGGCUUCUGCAGAUAAAUCAAAGCAUUUUUGCAACCUAGAUUGCCAUGACACAGCUUCCCUUGCAAAAGUAAUCAAGUAGUCUGAAGUAAACUCACGAGUAUCAACAUUAUCAGCCAUACCAGAAUCAAUGUAACCACAAAUAAAAGGAUUCCCUAUACCAAAACACAAACUAGAAGUGCCACAAAGAUAUCUCAUAACCCACUUCACUGCAUUCCAAUGUUUUCUUCCCAAAUUAGAGAGAAAACGGCUAACAACAACAACAACGUAUGCAAUAUUCGCUCUUGUACAAAUCAUUGCAUACAUCAAACUACCAAAAGCUGAAGCAUAAGAAACUUUCUUCAAAUCUUCCCUCUCAUCAUAGCUAGAAUGACACUGCUGCUUCAUGCUCAAUUUGAAGUGCAUAGCUAAAGGUGCAUUGACAACCUUAGCUUUGUCGAUGUUGAAUCUGCGAAGUACUUUUUAAAUGUACUUCUCUUGUGAUAACCACAACUUCUUGUCCUCUCUGUCACAGACAAUCUGCAUACCAAGAAUCUGCCUUGCUGGUCCCAAGUCUUUCAUAGUAAAAGACUUACUCAACUCUUGCUUUAACUUCUGAAUCCUGCAAGUAUUAUGACCAACAACAAGCAUGCCAUCAACAUAAAGCAACACAAUAAUAAAGUCACCACCAAAGAAUUUUUGCACAAAAACACAAUGGUCUGAAGAAGUCUUCUUGAAGCCCUACUGACUCAUAAAAAAAACAAACUUUCUAUACCAUUUUCACUGUAUUCCAAUGUUUUCUUCCCAAAUUAGAGAGAAAACGGCUAACAACAACAACAACGUAAGCAAUUUUCGCUCUUGUACAAAUCAUCGCAUAUAUCAAACUACCAAAAACUGAAGCAUAAGAAACUUUCUUCAGAUCUUCCUUCUCAUCAUAACUAGAAUGACACUGCUGCUUCGUGCUCAAUUUGAAGUGCAUAGCUAAAGGUACAUUGACAACCUUAGCUUUGUCGAUGUUGAAUCUGUGAAGUACUUUUUAAAUGUACUUCUCUUGUGAUAACCACAACUUCUUGUCCUCUCUGUCACAGACAAUCUGCAUACCAAGAAUCUGCCUUGCUGGUCCCAAGUCUUUCAUAGUAAAAGACUUACUCAACUCUUGCUUUAACUUCUGAAUCCUGCAAGUAUUAUGACCAACAACAAGCAUGCCAUCAACAUAAAGCAACACAAUAAUAAAGUCACCACCAAAGAAUUUUUGCACAAAAACACAAUGGUCUGAAGAAGUCUUCUUGAAGCCCUACUGACUCAUAAAAGAACCAAACUUUCUAUACCAUUUUCUAAGAGCUUGUUUCAAACCAUACAAGUUCUUCUUCAAUUUGAAAACAUAAUUCUUUUUACCCUUUACUUCAAAACCUUCUGGCUGCUCCAUAUAAUUUUUUUCAUUCAAGUCAUCAUGGAAAAAAGCAGUUUUAACAUCCAUUUGCUCAACCUCUAAAUCUAGACUUGCAGCCAAGCCUAGAUUCACACAAAUGGAUGACAUCUUCACAAUUAGAGAACAUCUCAUCAAAAUCAACUCCCAUUUUCUGGUUAAAUCCCUUCAGAACUAAUUUAGAUUUGUACCGUAGAAUUGGAAUACCUUCUUCAUGUUUACCUAGAAAAUCCACAUGUUUUUAAAGCCUUUCGAUAUUUAGGUAACAUAACCAAAUUGAAGGUGUGAUUAUCAUAUUAGGAUUUAAUUUCAUCUUCCAUUUCAUUAAACCACCUUUCGUUUUAUUCACUUUACAUGGCCUCAUCAAGACUCUUAUCUUUUCCCCCAUCAGUCAAUAGUACAUACUCAUUAGGAGAAUAACGAGAUGAAAAAAUUCUCUCUCUAGCAGGUCGUCUGAGAGAAAUCUCCGAAUCAUCAAUAAUUGGUUCUGGGUCACCAACAUCAUCUACCAAUGGAGAAUCAACAACAUCAUACUGGUAAUUUUGAACAUGAUCACCAUCUUCAUUAACAACUUGACUUUCAUCAUUAUGAAGAGUUUCUUCAGUGCAAUAGUCAAAGGAACUGGAUCAACAUCAAUUAGGCUCUUAGUGCUCUGAGAAUCAACUUUCUUGGCUUUGUCAAGAUCUUCAAUUGUUUGGUCUUCAAAGAACACAACAUCACGACUUCUAACAGUUUUUCUCAACUAGCCAAAUUCAUCUUGAUCAUAACAAAGGUACAUUGCCUAGUUUUGACAUACAACUUUGACAUCUCAUCCUUAGCAACAUGCACAAAGGUUUUACACCUAAAAACUUUAGGAUGAUCAUAAGAGACAUUCUUACCAGAUCAAACUUGUCAGGGACAUGACCAUUCAAAGCAAGAGUAAGAGAUAAAUUGAUAACAUAGGUAGAAAUAUUAAGUGCUUCCGUCCAAAAGGAAUCUGGUUGUUUAGCAUCUGAAAGCAUACAUUUAACCCUCUCAAAUAGAGUUUUGUUCAUCCUCUUUGCUAAACCAUUUAGCUAAGACAUAUUUGAAGGAUUUUUUUUAUGCCAACUACCCUGCUCACUGCAAUAUCUAUCAAAAGAAUCAAUAUACUCAUCAUCAUUAUCAAAACGGAUGUGUUUUAAUUUCCUUCCUGUUUGUCUCUCAACCAAGGCCUGAAAACUCUUAAACGCAUCAAGGACUUGACCCUUGAACUUCAAAGAGAAUACCUAGAGUUUGCAAGAAUGAUCAUCAAUAAAAGUCACAAAGUAAAGUGCACCACCAUGAUACUUUUCCUUAAAAGAACCACACAAAAUAAAAUUUACCAACUCCAGCAAAUCAAGCUUCCUUGAAGGCAUAUGACUCUGAAAAGAAACUCUUUUUUGUUUAUCGGCUAAGCAAUGAACACAUUUGUUCAACUUUUCUUGUUUCACUCCAGAAAGCAAAUUCUUCUUAGUCAAUUUUUUCAUUCCCUUCUUGCUCAUAUGACUCAGUCUUUUAUGCCAUGACUAUGAUGAAGUAUCAUUCUCCACCAAAUUUAUCAAGCCUAUAAAAAUGGAGCCCUAGAAUACGUACAAGUUAGACAACUUGUCACCACAAUCCAAAACCAUCGAAUCUCUAGUAAGCUUCCACUGGCCAGCACCAAGGGUAUAAACAUAACCCUCAUCAUCAAGGUAUCCCUCAGAAAUCAAAUUCAAGCGAACCUCUAGAGGAUGUUAUAAUAUUAUUGAAGACUAGUUUGGAUCUAUUGUUACUUUUCAAACAAACAGUCGCAAUGCCAAGAACUGCAACCUCAUGAUUAUUGUCCAUUUUCAGCAUGCCACAAUUACCUGGAGUAUAAGAAGAAAAUAAUUUCUUUUUUGGAGUGACAUGAGAAGUAGCACCAGACUCCACAAACCAGCUAAACUCAUCACGAACAAGAUUGACAAAAUUUUCAUCACAAAAAUAAGAAGAUCAUCAUUAGCAGCAACAACAACACAAUUUUCAUUAUCGCCUUCUUUCUUUUGUUCUCUCAUAUAUCACUUAUACCUAAAGCAAUAUUUUUUUAUAUGCCCAUUCUUGUGGCAAUAGUCACAUGUAACAUUCUUAUAUUUAGACUUUGACUUACCUCUACUUUUAUAUCUGCAUUCUAACCUCUGAACUUGCUUCUCCCCUGUCUUCAGUAACCAAAACAUCGAAGUGUGAAGUAGAAGAAGAUAAGCCUUGAGGUCUUCUUCUCUUCUCUUCAUUCAAGACAUCAUUCUUAGCAUAUUCUAUAGUUACAACACCACUAGGAGCAUAAUUAGUCAAAGAAAUUCAAAGAGUUUUCCAAGAGUCUGGCAAAGUGUUAAGAAGUAAAAGUCCAUGUAUCUCUUCAUCGAACUUUUCAUUCAUUUCGGACAACUAGUCAAGAACACCUUGAAAAUUAUUAAUAUGAUCAGAAAUAUGAGUGUCCUCUUUAUACUUGAUGUUCAUUAAUUGUUUAAAUAGAAAUAACUUAUUGUUGUCAGUCUUUGAAGCAUAGAGUGUCUCAAGCUUGUCCCAAAAUCUUCUAGCAUGUGUCUUAUUCACAAUGUGAUUUCUAACAUUAUCUUCAACCCAUUGUCUGAUAUAGCCACAAACAUGUAAGUGCUCAAAUUCUUAUUCCUGAUCCAUCAUGGAUUGAGGCUUAUUAGAAACAAACACAGGUAAAUGCAUCUUUUUUUAAAAUAGAAGAUCUUUCAUCUUGCCUUUUCAAGUAUGAUAGUUACUACCAUUCAAACAAACCAUCUUGCUCAUAUUUUUCUCCACCGUUCAAAUCGAUAAUCAACAAUAACCUUAUGCUAUGAUAACACUUUGUUGGAAAAGGAAAUGCACUAACAAAGAAUGCCCGAUAAUAUAGCAACAGAAAAAUACCCAAGUCUAAACUUUUCCUUUAAGUUUGAAUCAAGUGAAGACAAACUAGAUCAAGCAGUACGAAGAAUUGACAUCAAGUAUAUCAACCAAACAACAACAACAACAACAACAAGAUAAGAAUAAACAAACACACAAGACACAAAAAUUUACAUGGAAAACCCUUCAAUGCGAAGAAUAAAAACCACAUGACCAAAAGCUCCACUAUAAUAACCAAGAGUUACAAUAUUUUUCUCCAAAUAUAGCCACAAAAUAAGUGUCCAACAAUGAGUAUCAACGAAACAAGAUUGCACCAAAACUAGAGAAUUAAAGGAGAGAAUUCACCAAAAAAUGAGCUACUAUUCAUAACAAAAAAUCCAAAUCUAAAGACAACCAGAUCCGAUCUCCACCGUUGAAAUGCAAGAACCAUAUGUUGAAAACUCCCAGUUUAAAUUUGAGCACGAUCCAAUGGUUAACGAAGCAAUAAACUGUGUUUAAACUAGACAACUUGAGCAGAAAAUUUCUUGAAACAAAAACGAGAUUUUUCUCUCGUUCUUUCAAUCUCUAAAUGCCUCUCUUUCUAUUUCUCUCUCUUGUGUGCCUGAAAAUAAGACCUAAAUAAGCCGUAUAUAUGCCACAUAAUAUUGACAUUUAUUUAUUCACAUAGGAAGGAAAAAAUCCUACACCCACUAUUUUAACUCAAACUCAAUAUUUAUUUUAAAUUUUAAUCAACAUCUAUAAAUUUUCAAUUUCAAAUGAUCAUAUCAAUUAACUUAAAGAAUGUUAUUUUCUCUCGUUCAUAACUUCAUAUUGAAUUGUGCUUUUAAUUUAGGCAAACCCCUUUUAAAAUCUACUAUUUUCUAAAAAUUAAAAGUGUAUCUUGGUUUAAAUAUAAAAAAAUCACUUAUCUAAAUAAGGAUAAUAAAAAAGAAAUAAUUAAUUCCUUUUUAGUUAUGUGAAACACUAUUUAUUUUGAACUAAAAUAGAAAAAUAAAAUUAUCAUUUAAUUAGACUAGGAGGGAGUAAAAUAAACAUCAAAUCUUGUAUUAGGCACACAUUAUUUAUACGCUUCCUUGGAGUAGCAUCCAUCCUCCUACUUUUUUAUUUUUGACUUUUCCAUAAAAAUACCUUUAUUCCAAUCUUAUAUAUCUAUAUAUACCAAAACCCCUCAUUGACUAAUUAGACUUUCCUAUUUCAAGAAAGAAUGAAUUUUGAGGAUUCAUAUCACAUUAGAUUUAAUCUCGAUCAAAUAGUUGAAAUUCAUUUCAAGAAAUAAUUGAUAUUUGAGGAUUCACACCACGUUAGAUUUAAUCUCAAAAGUUGAUCAAAUUUAUUCUCCAGACUCUAUUUCGACUUGCCUUGUACACACGUGAGACAUAUGAACCUUGGGCUCUGAUAUCAUUUGUCACGAUAAAAAAUGCACGUGAUGACACUCAUUUUAUCCCACCGAGACAAGUCAGCCUAACACCCAAAACUACAAUACAAAAUGUAGAAAGUAAGCUAUCAAUAACAUAAGUGUGAAAAAUUUAGAUAAAAUACAUAACUACCACCAAAAUCUGGUUGUCACGUGUAUAAGCCACUAAUGUAUAAAAGCACUUGAAUAGAACGAAGCAUAAAAUAAGGAAUAAGAGGACCCACCGGGAUGACAAGCAACUACCUCGCAACGUGUCCUCAAAAGCCUUAGAAGAAAUGUCACACAAGUCUAGGUCCGAAUCUACACAAGUGUAGAAGCAAUGAGUGAGUACCAAUCAACACGGAACUCAACAAGCAAUCCAAUAACACAAGGUAAAACUAGCCUAGAUUACAAAUACUCAUUUCAUCCCAACCGAACCUCCUCAACUAAAACCUGCACAGAAAUCAGUUCAGCCUAACAAUUUACAAUAUACAACUCACACGGCUCAACAAUCACAAUUCAACAUUAACAGUUCAACAAUCACUAGUAUCACAUUAAUCAAUCACAAGUAUCAAGUUGGAAUUUAUGGGGAAUACCCAUAGUCCAUGCACUCGCUGACAAUGACCUUGGCAUAAUAGAACCCACACGGCAAUGACCUCGACAUCAAUAACAUUCUUCAAAAAUGACCUCGACAUCAAUAACACUCACCGGAAAUGACCUCGGCCUAAUAACCUCGCAUCUCAUCAUAAUGCCCAGAAUCAAUGUGAAUGAGCAUACUCACACAAUAUUGAAGAGAUGAUAAACUCAAGCAAUUCAAGUUCACAAUAAUAUUAUCAAAGCAUUUCAUCAAUCAUGAGUUCAAUGUUCACACCAAGACAAUUCAUAAUACACAAUACAUCAUUAACAACACAUUACCUUUUUCAUUAAACUGCAUUUAUAUCGAUAAAGCUAAUCAAAUGAGUAAAUUAACCCAUCACCUCACUUCCAUUGCUUCCCAACACACACAAUGAAGGAAAAUACAAGUUUCUACAAGUUUUAACAAUGUUUAGAGGUCUUGUCUUAAUCAAUCAAAAGUCACUCUAGGACUUGAGCUUUUCCCCUCCGAAUAAUAUCUAAAGCAACACAAUCUAAUCAAAUAAGUAAUCACAAUGAGAUUUUGAAACUAAUAACACACAUAUCAAGCACUUUAAAAAAUGGGUCAAUUCGACUCAAAAAAUAAAUUCCAAAAAUUAGGUUUGAAAUUGAAAAUCAUUACUUAAAUACGUUACCCAAAACAUUUGAAACUCAUUGGUGAAAGCCAUUUUGAAAAUAAAGGUGUAUUCAACUCAAAAUCACCAAUUUACUUCAACACCCAGUUAGUCUUGAAAACCUUUUCAUUUUGCCAAUCAAAAAUCUCUAUUUUUUUUAAUGUUAAAACUACAAAUGAUAAUGGAGAAUUGAAGACUUAGGGUUACAAACACUUACCCAAAAAAUUUAGUACGAUAAGUCUCCUCAAAAUCACCUUCAACUGUUCUUCAAAAUUCAAAAUGGAGAAAUCCCAAAAAAACAAACUAAAAGGCUCCCAUGUCUCGCUUUUGCAAACCCAGGGUCACUUACACAAUCAUCGCAAUCCUAGUUCAAAAAAUCGAACUCUGAAAAGUUGGCUAGUAAUCACUUUCGCGAGCCGGCCUUCACUAAAGCGAAGGUCGCGAAAGCGACAACCACUCGCAAACGCGAAGGUCUAGGGGAACCGACCCCUUGCGAAUGUGACUAGUAUAUCACGGAAGCAAUGUUUGCGAAAGCGAACAACCUCUCGUUAACGUGAGGCACACAUGGUAAUAGAAAAUUCAUCCAACUUUCAAAAUUCCUAAAUGAUCCUCAGAAUUCGUUCGGAACCCAUAUACACAAAUUAAAUAUGUAACUCGACGAUACUCAACGUUUCAAAUAUAAUGGAACUAUUGAAAUACGAAUCUGAGAUCUCCUAGACCCGAAUCUCGUGUAAAUCACAAGAAACUAACACAACACCUAAAACUGACAAACUAGCUCGGGACCUCUUAAAAUUCAACCAAGAUCUCUGCCUAAGCCUAAAAUCAUCUCCCGAAUUCAAUGGAAUUGUUGGAAAUUCGAUCCGGGCAUCCAAACUCCAAAUGUUAACAAAGUCAACCUAAAGGCUAAAUUCUCACCAAUUUUCAAGUUAGGACCUCAAAUCCAGGAAAAGACUCUGAAUGUAACACUCCGGAAACUAGUAGGCUAAACUAGAGCUUAACAUGUGGGUUAAAGUCGUAAAUGUAACUCCCCGUACUUAAAAAUAAUGGGUUUCAUGUUAGGAUGUCAAGGUACGACCCCCAAGAACCAACUAUGGGUCCUUGAGGAAGACCCUAGAAAAGUUGCAUGUAUAGUGACCCACGAAGGGGACCUACACCACGUAGGUCAACCCACACCCAUGGGUGAGAGGGCCGUAGGUCAGGCCCUAAAAAUCAAGUCCCACAACCCAACCCACGCUUCACCAGCACGGGCCGUAGGUCCAACCACGGUCCGUCAGUGGUAGGUCUUGGAUGGUCACCUGGAAGCUGAUUUGGAGGGUUAAGUUAGAGGGCACUUUGGGGUUUUCCAGGUUUAAUUAAUACUAAGUGAGGUUGUUUUAGCCUAUUUUAGAACACCUAUAUAAGGAUUUAAGCUCACAAAAUUUACUCAUCUUCCUCAUUAUUCCAAAAUCCCAAAUAAAAACCAACUUUUCCCCAAAUAUUCUCUCUCUAGAACUUCAAAGAAAACGAAGAAGGAAGUUGGAGCUAGGGUUCAAUGAGCAAGGUUUUCUUCUCAAAUUCAUUGGAUUUCAUUGCUAAGGUAUGGUAGUUCUUCAUACAUGGAUAUAAUUCAUCCAUGGAGCCCCUUCAAAACCUCAAUUUCAAAGAUGGAAAUUCCCCAAAAGUUAGGGUUUUACUCCAAGUCAUGGGUUCCUUUAAAAAAUGAUUCUAGUGAUUUAAUUACUUAUACUAUGAUUGAAUUUAUGAUCUUUUAUGGUUUUUAUGUUGAAAUCCCCAAGAAUCCAUGAAAUCCCCCAUAUUACUCAAUUAUGAUCUUGUGAUGUAGGUUUGUUGAUGAAAGAAGAGUAUUAUGAGAUUUUACAUGUAGUGAUUUGAUUACUUGAAUUAUGAUUAUAUCCAUGUCUAAAGUAGUGAAUUCUAGAUGUGUUGAUUGAAUAUGAUCAUUGAUCCUUGAAGGGUAAAGUAUGAGAAUUAUGCAUGAUUAUGAGAUUUAUGUAUAUGCUUUAAGAACACUUUGAGAGUAAAGUGAUUAUGAUUAUGAUCUAGUUGUUGUGUUGUUGAAAGGUUAUCCUCAUAUACACACUUACGUAUGAAUAUGAUAUGAUGUGAGGGGUUUUCUCAUAAUAUGAUGAUUCUAAGGUUGAAAGACUAUUCUCACCUAUUGAAUCUAGGAGCUAUCUUAUGAGUUAUGUUGGAUUGAGUGUCAAGACAUUCUUCCAUGAAUAUGAAUUUAAGUCAAGACUUAACAUGAACUCCGUGGGAAUUAAUGCUCAGCACCGAGUGGAUAUUGAUAUGAGAUGGGAACCCUCACAAUAGUAGAGACCGAGUUUCUAGGAACAAUCUCUUGGGAUGGAAGCCCUCACGAUAGUAGAGGUCGGGUUUCUAGUAGCAAUCCCCUUGUCCCAUAAACUAUGUGCCUUCAUAGGUCUUUAGAUAGUGGAUCCACCUAAGCUAAGAGUAUGGUUCUACCUUAGGAAAGUAGGACAACCCCUUUUCGGUGUGGGGUAGACACCGGAUUCCAUGUUAAGCUCACAUGGUCUAUGUCGGUUAAGGCUUAUACCACUAUGAUAGUAUAAACAAUAAUAUGAAUUAUGAACUAUAGCUACUCAAGAAGCUUUACUUAGUAUGUGUGAGAUUAUGGGAUCUUAUUCAUGCAUUACACAAGUAUGCUUUGAGGGUAUUUAUGAUAUGUUCAUCUUACGAUAUGAUGAUCUAUGAGUUGAUUAUGCUUAUGACUUAUGCUUUUUCCACUAUCUUCAAAAUGAUGUUUUAACAUAGUAAAUUGCAUGCAUUCAACUAAAUGUCCUUUUAGCAUUAUUUCAAUGUUUUUAUGCAUGGCUAUCAUACUUAGUGCAUUUUUGUACUAACACAUGCUUUUUCUACAUUUUCCGCAAUUGUAGGGUCCGGUUCUCAAGGUGGUCAUCAUUGUGGCUAAAGAUUGGAUUUGCUUAUUCUCCUAGCUUGUUGGUGAUUCCUCAUGAUUUAAGGACUGAUGUUAUCUUUGUAGUUCUUUUCUUGUAUUUCCUUUACGGACUAUGUUGUAUGGGCUGUGACCCUAUUUCUUUCAAGUAUUGUAAUAGAUGGCUAUAUUGAGACAAGUCUAGACUUUCGCUUUCCUUUAUGAAAAAUUUUGGACUUGAAAUGCGAUUUUACUCUUUAUUGUUCUAUUCUUAUGUUAUGAUACGUUAAGAGGCUUGUAUAAGGCUUCUCGGAGUCUUGCACACCGUGUUACAUCUAGGGGGUACUUUUGGGUCGUGACAAACUUGGUAUCAGAGCACAGGGUUUAGAUUGAUUCUAGGAUGAUGUAUCAUAAGCAACGUCUAGUAGAGUCUUGCUCAUGAGUGUGAAGCGCGCCACAUUUAUGAAUGUGAGGCUACUAGUUGAUUAGGAAACUACAUUUCUUUCAUUACUCUUAAGUCGUGCAAUAGAGUUUAACUCUAUAAAGUCCCUCUCUUAAUCCUUCUCUUAAAAUGAAUACACGAAGGGCUAAUGCUAGAAGAAUAGAGGGUGACAAUGUGAAUGAAGAAGCUCUUCAAGCUAAUCAAGCUCCGAUUGAUCCUUUAGUUAUGUCGAAUGUGGAGGUUAGGUCGGCUUUUCAAAUGUUGGCCCAAGCUUUGACUACUCAAGCUCAAGUUGUGACGGCUCAAGCCAACAGAGAGGUUGUAGCUAUGGUGAAUCCUAAUGUGAGUUCAGAGGCUUCAAGAGUGAGGGAUUUUUCAAGAAUGAACCCCCCGAAUUGCAUGACUCCAAAGUGGAGGAGGAUCCUCAAGAAUUUGUAGAAGAGGUUUAUAAAGUACUUGCUAUUAUGGGGUGACUUCGGUAGAGAAAGCAGAGUUGGUUGCUUACCAAUUGAAAAGUGUUGCUCAAGUGUGGUAUAAUCAAAGGAGGAGAAAUAGGCCGGUAGGAGCAAGUCGCAUAAAGUGGGAGGUGUUCAAAUUGGCGUUUCUUGAUAGGUUCUUUCCCCGAGAGUUGAGGGAAGCUAAGGUGGAAGAGUUCAUUAACCUUCAUCAAGGAAGCAUGAGUGUGAAAGAGUAUGCACUAAAGUUCACUCAAUUGUCCAAGUAUUCUCCAACUAUGGUGGCGGAUUCGAGGGAUGAGAUGAGUAGGUUUUUGACGGAUGUGUCUGGCUUGGUAGUAAAAGAAUGUCGUUCAGUAAUGCUCCAUCAUGAAAUGGAUAUCUCACGUCUUAUGGUGCAUUCCCAAUAAAUAGAGGAAGAGAAACUCAAGAAAAAGAAUAGAGAGGUGAAAAGAACUACGACCGGUGAUGGGAAAUUCUCCAAUGCUAAGUCUGAUGUACAAGGUCGACCAAGGUUUUCCAACCAAGGCUCCUCUAGUUCUCCAAGGGUCAACAAGGAUAGGGUUUCCAACCCUAAACCUCAAGGAGGUAAUAGUGGUGGUUCUUAUGUGGCUAGGCCUAAUUGUGCGAAAUGUGGAAGAAAACAUGAUGGUAAGUGCCUAGUUGGCUCGGACAGUUUCUAUGGUUGUCGAAAGAGUGUCCACAAGAUGAGAGAUUUCCCGAUGCUCAUGGCCAAGGGAAGAGAAGGCAAUUAAACUCCUCCAAGCGGUUCAAACUCCAAUGCCCCAAAGCAAAACCGUUUUUAUGCUCUUCAAUCCCGAGACCAAGAGAGCUCACGGAUGUUGUGACCGGUAUGUUAAAAUUCUUUCUUAUUGAUGUGUAUGCCUUGUUAGAUCUCGGUGCUACUUUGUCCUUUGUGACACCUUAUGUCGCCAUGAAGUUUGAUAUACUUCCCGAAGCGUUAGUGGAACCUUUUUUGGUUUCUACCCCGGUUGGUGACUCAGUGGUGGCUAAGAGGGUGUAUAGAAGGUGUCUCAUUUGCUUGUCCCAUAGAGUUACUUUGGUGUAUUUCGUAGAGUUAGACAUGUUAGAAUUUGAUGUGAUUUUGGGUAUGGAUUGGUUGUAUGCAUGUUAUGCCUCUAUCGAUUGUAGGACUCGGGUGGUUAGAUUCCAAUUUCCAAAUGAGCCUGUCUAAGAGUGAAAGGGAGGAAAUUCUAUGCCUAGAGGUCAAUUUAUCUCUGGUCUUAAAUCUAGGAAGAUGAUCUCCAAAGGGUGUAUUUACCAUAUUGUUAGGGUGAGGGAUGUUGAAUCUGAAACCCCUUCUCUAGAGUCGGUUUCGGUAGUGAAUGAGUUAUCGAAAGUUUUUCCUGAUGAUUUACCCGGUAUUCCUCCCGAUCGGGAAAUAAAUUUUGGUAUUGACCUUUUACCGGAUACAAAGCCUAUCUCUAUUCCUUCUUAUAGAAUGGCUCCGGCUGAGUUGAAAGAGCAACUAAAAGAUUUAUUUAAUAAGGGCUUCAUCCGAUCGAGUAUCUCUCCAUGGGGUGCUCCGAUGUUGUUUGUUAGAAAGAAGGAUGUGUCUCUUAGAAUGUUCAUCGAUUAUCGUCAAUUGAAUAAAGUUACCAUUAAGAACAAGUAUCAUCUUCUGAGAAUUGAUGACUUGUUUGAUCAAUUUCAAGGGGCUAGUUAUUUCUCAAAAAUUGACCUUCGUUCGGGUAUCACCAGUUAAGGGUGAGAGGGGUUGAUAUUCCCAAGAUGGCUUUCAGAACUCGAUAUGGACAUUCUGAAUUCCUUGUGAUUUCAUUUGGCUAAACUAAUGCUCCUGCGGCAUUUAUGGACCUAAUGAAUAAAGUAUUUAGGUAAUACCUAGACAUGUUUGUAAUUGUGUUUAUCGAUGAUAUUUUGAUCUAUUCAAGGAGUGAGAAUGAUCAUGAGGACCAUUUGAGAAUUGUGUUGCAAGUUCUUAAGGACCACCAACUUUUUGCAAAGUUUAGCAAGUGUGAAUUUUGGUUGAGAUCCGUAGCUUUCCUUGGUCAUAUUUGUCAAGCAAGGGUAUUGAGGUAGAUUCUAAGAAGACGGAUGAGGUCAAGAGUUGGCCUAGAGCUCUAACUCCUUUCUAUAUUAGAAGCUUUUUGGGUUUUGCCGGUUGCUAUAGAAGGUUUGUUGAGGAAUUUUCUUCCAUUGCUUCUCUUUUGAUUGCUUUGACUCAAAAGAAAGCUAAGUUUGUGUGGUCGGAAUCUUGUGAGAAAACUUUCCAAGAGUUGAAAGAUAGACUUAUUUCUGCUCCGGUGUUAACCUUACUAGAAGGUACAAAUGGUUUCGUGGUAUAUUGUGAUGCCUUUAGAGUGGGGUUGAGAUGUGUGCUCAUGCAAAGCGGUAAAGUGAUUGCAUAUGCUUCAAGGCAACUUAAAGUCCAUGAAAAGAAUUAUCCGACCCAUGAUCUUGAAUUAGCGGCGGUUGUGUUUGCCUUAAAAAUAUGGAGGCAUUAUUUGUAUGGGGUCCAUGUGGAUGUUUUCACCGAUCACAAGAGUUUUCAAUAUGUAUUUAGUCAAAAGGACUUGAAUCUUCGACAAAGAAAGUGGCUAGAACUCUUGAAGGAUUAUGAUAUGAGUGUCCUUUAUCACCUCGGCAAAGCCAAUGUGGUAGCAGAUGGACUUAGUAGAUUGUCCACGGGUAGUGUGGCUCAUGUAGAGGAUGAAAAGAAAGAAUUGGUUCGUGAUGUGCAUAGGUUGGCUCGACUAGGUGUUCAACUAGUGGAUUCCACCAUGGGUGGUGUCAUGGUCCAUAAUGGUUCCAAAUCAUCCUUUGUAAUAGAUGUGAACCCUAAGAAAGACCUUAAUCCUAUAUUAGUUGAGUUGAAAGAGUCGGUACUCAAGAAGUCCGUUGAGUUUUUCUUCCAAGGGGAAGAUGGGGUGCUUAGGUACCAAGGUCGGUUAUGUGUUCCAAAUUUUGAUGGUUUGAGGGAACAAAUUUUACAAGAAGCUCAUAGUUCUCGGUAUUUUAUUCAUCCGGGAGCCACCAAGAUGUAUUGUGAUCUACGGAAAGUCUAUUGGUGGAAUGGGAUGAAGAAAGAUAUUGCGGGAUUUGUAGCCAAAUGUCCUAAUUGUCAACAAGUUAAGGUUGAGCAUCAAAGGCCGGGAGGCUUGUCCCAAGAUAUAAGUAUUCCCACUUGGAAGUGGGAAGAUGUAAAUAUGGACUUUAUUGUGGGUUUGUCUUGUACCCGAAGGAAACAUGAUUCUAUUUGGGUCAUUAUAGAUCGGAUGACAAAAUCAGCCCACUUCAUUCCCGUCACGGUUUCCUUUUCGGUGGAAUACUAUGCCAAGGUGUAUAUAAGGAAGAUAGUGAAGUUGCAUAGAGUUUCUCUAUCUAUUAUUUCCCAUUGGGAUACUCAAUUUACUUCCCACUUUUAGAAGUCAUUCCAAAAAGGUCUUGGCGCGAAGGUGAAGCUUAGUACAACUUUUCACCCCCAAACGCAUGGACAAGCGAAAAACACCAUUCAUGUAACACUUCGUAUCCAAAAAUAGACCAACCAACAGAUUUCCAGAAGUUUCAGGUGCAACCCACGGACCGUAGGGUGACCUACGUUCCGUCUUGAUGGUCCGUGGUUCACCACCUGCAGCCCCUCCCAGAAAAGGCCCAUAAAAUUAUUCUAAGUCCAGACCUACGUAAGGACCUACAGACCGAAGGCCAGACUAGGGUCUGUGUUCCAGGGCCGUAGGUCAGACCCUCAGACAAAUGUUUAUAUGACAUGACCUACAGACGAACCCACGGACCAUAGGUUAGGCCACAAAUCGUGGUCCUAGUCCGUGGAAUGAGGCCCCAGAAUCUAGUCCCAGAACCCCGUUGAUGGUUGACCAGCAUGACCGUUGGUCCAUCCAUGGUCCGUUGGUGGCCUCGAUAACUUUUAAGUCAGGGGUCGUUUGGUCUUUUCCCUAUGUGUUGGACCCCUAAACUACAUAGUUUUUGUCAGUUUUAGCCUAGUAAACUAAUUAGAACCUAACCUAAUCAAUCAUUCAUCUAAAAUUCAUCAAACUUAGAGCAAAAUAGAGGAGAAAGUUGAGCAGCCCUAGUUCAAGAGCGCAAGGAGCGUUCAUUAGUUCCAACCUCGAAAUCAAAAGAUUUCUCGGUGAAUUUUAUCACCAGGUAUGUGGGAUUUCACUAGUGGUUUCCUUUCACCCAUUAGGUCCCUAGAAUUCAGUCAGAUUCUUGAUUCCUUUCAUAUUAUCUAGACCUAGGGUUUUUAGAAUUUCAGAAGAUUAUUAUGAAUUACUGUAAUGUUCCUAAUUAGAUUAUCAUGAUAUUAGUAUUAUUUUGCGUAGAUUUUUUCAUAAGUUCAGAACCCUAGCUAUGUAGUUCUUUUAGUUCAUGAAUUACACAUGCUAGGUUAGUUAUCUCAGUUAUACAUGCCUCAGAUUUGAAUGUUUCAUUAUUAGUACAUUAAUGUUGCUUUUUUAGUUAGCAUGUCAGUAUUUUGAGCUAUCCAGUAUUACAUAAAUUCACUCAUAAACUGUUAAUUACAUAAUCAAUUGGGAGUAGCUUAAUACCGAGUGGACUAGGGUCAGUCACCCUCAACUCCCAGAACUUCGUGCCCCCGUAGGUUAUAAGUCCUCUCUGUGGGCAUCAAUUUAGUGAUCACGCUAGUUAUGCCUCUAUACCUCCGACAGGGUAUAUUUGGUCCUCUCGAUGAGGCGUAUACAUCGGACUCCAUAUUUAGCUCAUGUGGUUUUAUGUCGGUUAUUAGUAGCUCCCUUAUAGUUAGACUCUAUUGCAUUGACCAUGUUAUCAGUUACAGUCAGAUUUUAGUCUCAAUUUGUUAUAAACUUGGUCAUUGCAUUCAGUUAGUUCAUGUUUAGUAUUUUCAGUAUAGAAUCAUGCUUAUCUUAUCUCAUUGCUCAAUUAUAUGCUUUGUUCAGUUAUGUUUAUUGUUCAGCUUUACUCUAUCUUACAUUCUCAAUACCUUUCAAGUACUGACGCAUACGAUGCGCUACAUCUUUUUAUGAUGCAGGUUCAGGUCCUCAACUUUCAGAUCACGCAUAGGUCGAUUCCCGAUCUUCAGCUCAGCAGUAUCAGUGGUGAGUCCUCAUUCUCUGAGGACGACAUACAUAUUUCUUUUUAUUUUUAGUCUUUAGUUUCAGUUUUGUUAGAUUUAGCUAGGGCAUGUCCCAGCAUUUCUAGUCAGUUAAAGGCUUAUUUUCAGACAUAGUUAGAUUCAGCUUUAGCAUUUGAGUUUGACCUUUUAGUUGUUGUUUAACUCUCAGUUUUUUAUAUAUUCAGAUAGUUUAUGGGUUUUCCCCAUCAUUUUAGUUUUAUGAUGAUUUAAGCUUCCGCACCGUACUUUCUUAAUUCAGUUAUCUUUAAGUAUGCUUAUGAUAUGCCAGUAGGGUUAGCUUGGGGUCACUCGCGAUCCUAGGUCCCGUGUCCGCGUCUUGGGGGUAGCUUCGGGGCGUGACAAACUUGGUAUCAAAGCACUAGGUUUAAGUGUCCUAGGAUGUCUGAAAAGCCGCACUAAGUAGAGUCCUUUUCAUGGGUGUGAAGUGCACCACAUCUAAUGAGUGGGAGGCUACGAUGUGUUCUAGGAAAACUUCACUUUUUUUAUAUUCUUAUCGUGCGUGGGUAUGAUCUACCUUCUAAUCCAUCAUUAUGCAUUUCAGAUCAUGCCUCCUCGUAGAGAUUACAGAAGGAAUGCUAAUGCACGCAAUGCUAAUGCAACUCUUCCAGUCCCAGAUCAGGAAGUUUCGAAUGCAGAGUUCCAAAACGCCAUUUAGUUUUUAGCUUAGAGUGUGACCAACCAGAACAACCAAUAUGUUCAGGUUCCUACAAAUACUAGUGGUGGAUCAGCGGCAACUAGGGUUUAUGACUUUGUUAGGAUGAAUCCGCCAAAAUUUCUAGGAUCGCAAGUUGAUGAGGAUCCCCAAAACUUCAUAAAUGAGGUCAAGAAGAUCUUUGGAUUAAUGCAAGUGAUUAGAAAUGAUAGGGUGGAGUUGGCAUCCUACUAACUUAAGGAUGUAGCUCACAUAAGGUUCACGUAGUGGAAAGAAAACAAAGAUACGGAUGCAGUUCCUAUCACUUGGGAGUAUUUUAGUGAGACCUUUCUAGAAAAGUUUUUCCCAAGAGAGUUGAGGGAGGCAAGAGCUCACGAGUUCAUGAAUUUGAGGCAAGGUAACAUGAUAGUCGAAGAGUACGUGCUCAAGUUCACCCAACUCUCCAGGUAUGAUCCUCACAUGGUUGCCGAUUCCAGGGCUCAAAUGAAUAAGUUUCUGUAUGGAGUAUCCGACUUGGCGAAAACUAAGUGUCGCAAUGCUAUGUUACUGGAGAAUGUGAAUAUCUAUAGGCUCAUGACUCAUGCUCAGCAGGUUAAGGGAGAUAAGCUUAGGGAACAUGCUAAGGAUAAUAAGAAGGCUAGGACAGGCAACUAUGAGUAUUCUCAAUAGAAAUCAGGUGGUGGAAAUCGCUCGCAGUUUCAGCAAAAGUCUUCAGCUCCAGCACAUUCAUGAGAUAGUGUUCCAUCUUCCAGGUUUCGACAGAAUCAGAAAGGUAGGGCAAUAGGCUCUAAGUCUCAUGGGAGUAUUUUAGGCAUCAAAACCUACCCAACUUGUCCAAAGUGUGGUAAGAACCAUCUGGGCAAGUGUCUUACAGGAAAUGAAUGAUGCUUUGGGUGUGGUCAGUCUAGUCACAGGUUGAGAGACUGUCAUUCUUCUAAAUAGGGUCAAGUAGGAAACAAUGGUAGGGCUCAGUCUACAUCUUCAGCAGUACCAGCAGGUCACCCGACUCAGCAAGGUAACUCAUCUGGUAUAGGUGGCGGACAACACCAAAACAGGUUGUAUGCUCUUCAGGCUCACCAAGAUUAGGAAGAUUCUCCUGAUGUAGUCACUGGUACGCUACGAGUCUUUAACUUAGAUGUUUAUGCUUUGUUAGAUCCAUAGCCUACUCUCUCUUCUGUAACUAAUAACUAUCGAUUUUAGUGUCAGUCCCGAAAUUCUCUCAGAACCCUUCUCAGUCUCUACUCCAGUCAGUGACCCAAUUAUAGCUAGAUGGGUAUAUAGAAAUUUCCCUGGCACAGUCUCUCAUAAAGUCACCUCAGCGGAUCUUGUAGAGUUAGAAAUGGUAGACUUUGAUGUCAUUCUUGGCAUGGAUUAGUUACAUUCCUGUUAUGCCUCAGUCGAUUGUAAAACUAGGAUCGUUCAUUUUCAGUUUCCAGACAAACUAGUAGCUCAGUGCCUAUGGGUCGAUUCAUUUCUUACCUUAAGGCCAGAAAUAUGAUCUCUAAAAGUUAUCUCUAUCAUCUAUUUCGGGUUAAGGAUUCAAGCUCUGAAACCUCAACUCUUGAGUCAGUUCCUGUAGUUAAUGAGUUUGAAUGGAAGGGUAGUAGGUUGGUGCAUAUGGGUCGAUUCAUUUCUUACCUUAAGGCCAGAAAUAUGAUCUCUAAAAGUUAUCUCUAUCAUCUAUUUCGGGUUAAGGAUUCAAGCUCUGAAACCUCAACUCUUGAGUCAGUUCCUGUAGUUAAUGAGUUUCCUGAAGUGUUUCCAGAAGAUCUUCCCGGAGUUCCUCCCAAAAGGGAAAUCGACUUUGGANNNNNNNNNNNNNNNNNNNNNNNNNNNNNNNNNNNNNNNNUCCAGAUACCCAGCCUAUUUCUAUUCCUCCUUACAAAGUGGCUUUAGUUGAGCUUAAGGAAUUGAAGGAGCAGUUGAAUGACCUUUUAGAUAAGGGCUUCAUCAGACCUAGUAUUUCCUUGUGGCACCAGUAUUUUUUGUGAAAAAGAAAAAUAGUUCUCUCAAAAUGUGCAUUGACUAUCGGCAGUUGAACAAGGUCACGAUAAAAAAUAAGUAUCUUAUCCCCUAAAUUGAUGACUUAUUUGACCAACUUCAAGGUGCUAGUCAUUUCUCAAAGAUAGACCUCAGAUCCGAUUAUCAUCAGCUCAGAGUCAGAGAUAGUGACAUUUCGAAAAUAGCCUUCAGAACUCGGUAUGGUCAUUAUGAAUUUGUAGUUAUGUCAUUUGGACUAGCCAGUGCUCCUUCAACUUUCAUGGAUUUGAUUAACAGAGUGUUCAAGCAGUAUUUGGACUUGUUUGUUAUCGUCUUUAUUGAUGACAUCCUCAUUUACUCUAGGAAUGAGGAAGAAGAUACGACUCAUUUGAGGGUUGUCCUGCAAACUCUCAAAGAUCGUCAGUUAUUCGCUAAGUUUAGCAAAUGUGAGUGUUGGUUGUAAUCUGUUGCUUUCCUUGGGCAUAUUGUGUCUAGCGAAGGGAUCUGAGUGGAUUCUCAGAAAAUAAAAGCAGUGAAACAAUGGCCCAGACCUACCUCUCCUAUAGAUAUAAGAAGUUUCUUGGGUUUGGAUGGUUAUUACAAAAGGUUUGUAGAAGGAUUUUCAUCCAUAGCUUCUCCAUUAACUAAGUUAACUCAGAAAAAGGUUAAGUUCCAAUGGUCAAAUAAUUGUGAGAAUAGCUUUUCAGAACUGAAAACUAGCUUGACUACAGCUCCUGUUUUGACUCUACCAGAGGGUUUAGACGGUUAUCUGAUCUAUUGCGAUGCAUCUAGAGUCGGCCUAGGUUGCGUGUUGAUGCAACGAGGUAAGUUUAUAGCUUAUGCUUCUAGACAACUCAAGGUGCAUGGGAAGAACUAUCCAACUCAUGACCUCGAGCUUGCAGCAGUGGUGUUUGCACUUAAGAUUUGGAGACAUCACUUGUAUGGUGUUCACGUAGAUGUGUUCACAGACCAUAAGAGCCUUCAGUAUGUGUUCACCCAGAAAAAGUUGAAUCUUCGCCAGAGGAGAUGGCUUGAGUUCCACAAAGAUUAUGAUAUGAAUGUGCUUUAUCAUCCUAGUAAGGCCAAUGUAGUAGCAGAUGCUCUUAGUAGACUAUUUAUGGGUAGUGUAGCACAUAUUGAGGAAGAAAGGAAAAAACUAGCAAAAGAUGUUCACAGGCUUGCUCGCUUAGGAGUUUGUCUUAUGAGCAUAUCAGAUGGUGGUGUAAUAGUACAGAAUGGGUCAGAAUCUUCAUUGGUAGCGGAUGUUAAGGAAAAGAAAAAUAAUGAACCUAUAUUGCUUCAACUAAAGUGUCAUGCCCCAAACUCGAGGGGCGCAACUAGCUCCUAAUGCCAAAACUCAGGCCUGAGUUGACCCUGCUGAACCAUUUGCUACUAGCGCAUGGCAGCCACACGCAAUCAAGAAAACAAACAAGUAUAUCUCGGCUUAAAACUAAGCCCUCGACUGGUAAGGCCCCUGUCAACUGAUCUAUAAAGGAAACAACUACUCCCAGGAGAGCAUAUUAAAUAAAUAGCCAACUAGUACAAAAGUCCUGAUUGGGCCGUCGAGGCCACCAUGAUAUCUAUACCAAAACUAAAAGCACGUAUAUAUCAAGUUAAUAAAUCAAACAUCUCACAAGCUUCAGUAAACCAACAAACUAGGAUAGUAUGUCCAUAACAUAGCUAUACACCCCACACACUAGUCUGCAAGCCUCUAAGAGUAGUAAAGAUUGGCGGGACAGGGCCCCAGCCUACCCAUAAACAUAUAUACAACAAAAGGUAACAAACCUCCCAACUCUGGAAGCUCCGGAGGAAAGGGGCUAGCCAAUCGGAUAGAAGUCAAUCAUGCUGCUAAGGAAUCAUCUAAAAAGUAUGACCGUUUUUACCCACGAUGGCUACAUGGUUUAUGGAGACUUGAGUUAUUAUGAACUCGUCCUCAUAUCGGUGCUCAAUACUACUCCCAAAAUAUACUCGGCUCAUAUGUUUUAAAAUAAAACUCUCUCUGUGGUUUGAGAUAAUUACUCAAAAACUAGCUCAAAGGUUCUCUUAGAAAUUGGUGUUUCCUCUCUUGUUUAAAUGUGAAAACAUUUACUCUUUUAGAAAUACAUAGUCUUGGUAUACUCUUUUAAAGAAAAGAACUUUGAUCUUCACUCUUUAUUCAACUCAAAACUCAAGUCUUAAAAUAAAGUUAAAAAGUUUGCAAAAGACUUUUGAAAUGACUCUAAGAACUCUCUAGCCUUGGCUCUUAACUUUCCUUGAAUUUGAAUUUAUGGAUUCAAGGAUUGUGAUUUGUGAUAGGAAGGAUCUCAUGAUGUUUAGGAGUGUUUUUAGAUAGUUAAACGUGAGAAACGAUCAAGAAAUUCCUAUCUAGAAACAAGUUCACGACGCGGAGAUGCAUUUAAUUAUUUGAUCGUGAAAUAAAUUUUGAGGCAGAAUGGUCUGUGACUACUUCGCGAUGCGGAGAAAAUUUUGUCAAUCCUAAGGAACAGGUCCGCGACGCUGACCUGGUACCCAGAUUUGCCCGACUUGUUCCUUCUUCGUUUUCUAACACCAAUUCGCCUAAAUUCGAUUCUUUUUCUCAAUUCCUCUUUAGAUUCAGAUACCCAGCACAUGUACACAAGAAUCUAACUCAAAAAAACUCUAACAAUCAACCUUAAACUCUCAAGAACAAAAGCAAUUCAAGAAUACAACUCAAGAACAUCAAAGUCUCAAUCUUUUAGGACGAAAAUCAUACUGAAAUAAACAUGUUUGGCACGUGGGUGAACGAACCCAACGCUAUGUGAACUCACAUACCUCGUAGGAUUGAAUCUUUGGCGAAAACCACAACCAAAAUCGCAAGAACUUGACGAAUCUUUGAACUUUUCUUCUCCUUUCUCCUCUUGAGUUCUUUCUCCAAUAACCCUAGCGUGAUUUGGUAAGGCAUAAACUGAUCUAACUCUGUUUAGACCCAAAUUAAACUUCUAAAAACGAAAUAAAUUAAUUGGGCAUGGAAAAGACCAAAAUACCCCUUUAAAAUCCGGUUUUAACUUUCAUUAUCUAGACAACUCAACUUCAAAUGGGCAUAUAUCCCUCAUACAAACUCGAAAUCAAGCAAACUCGGAGGCGUUGGAAAGAUAAUUCAAAGAUAUUUCCUACGGUAUCUUGUAGCACACCUAACUUAUCCUGAGCUAGGAGUUAUCGCCACUUGAAGUUGACCCAAACUCAAGCUUAGCAUAACUUUAACAAAUUUUCCAGAUUUUUCAUUCUUUCCAAAAAUAACUCUUUCUAAUUCUAGCUCUUUCACUUAGCGAGGUGUUACAAUCACGAACAUAAUUUGGUACUGUGUACGGAUACAUAUCCUUCUAAAUUAGGACAACCGUAGAAGAUACAUAGCAACACUUGAUACAUGAUAAAUGAUACAUUUGGUAGAACUUUUGUAUUAUCAAUGCUAGUUAAGGAUAUCUAUCAAAACUAAUAUUUGAAUACGAUACAUUGUGAAUGAUAAAAAAUUUAAUGCAUCAUAAUGUUGAAACGAAGACAUUAUACAUUAGUUUAAGAAACAAAAUCAACUAGAUACAUUAAAAAUCUGAACCCAUAUGCAUUAGAAAGGACGAACAACAAAGAAUCGAAAAAAAUCAACAAUUUAAUCUGCUGAAAGCAAAAAAAAAAAUGAUGAAGAAAUCCUCCUACACUUUCAUCAUUGAGGGAGUGAAAAUAUGGAGAGAUUAAGGGAGUGACAAUAGGAAGAGAAACGUGUACUUGAGUGUUGAAGCUUUAUGUAUCUGGAACAUUGGGGUUUGGGAGGAAAAAGAUGGAUUUUGGAAAUAUUUUGGAAUGGUAGGAAUAAUGGAAAUUGUGGAAAAUAAAAGUGUGUAUAUAGGUAAUUUUUCUGAAAAAAUUAGUAUUUGAGCCAAGUUCUAAUAUUUGAAAAAAUUUAAAAAUAAAAAAUCGCCCUAAACUUUUAUAUUUUAUCAAAAAAACACCCAUCACUUAUUAGUUCCAACUAAUAUCUAUCUACCAAAUUACUCCUUUAAUAACUAAUAAAUAUUCCUCUCUAUUAUCUAUAUAUAGAACGUGGCUAAGAGAAAUUUUUGUUUUUAAUAGAUUAUAAUUCAUCCUGAAUUAGUGACAAGUUUGAGUAUGCGAUUAAUAUAUUGCUCUUGUCAUAUUGUUGAUUGUUAUCAUUAUAAGGUUAUUUUUUAACAAAACAUAUUCAUCAUAAAAUGAAAAUUCAACCUUAAAGAUAUUUUAAAUAAUUUUUAGAACUUAUUGAUACAAAUCAUAUUUUUUGAAAUGAUCAAAUGUUUCUUCUGAAAUUUAUGGACAAACGUUGUAUCAACAAUAAUGAUACUUGAUCAUAUAAUUUAUGAUUGGUAAAAGGGUCUGAUAUACCCCUCAACUUUGCCAUUUGGAGCUGAUAUACUCCUUGUUAUGAAAGUAACUCAUAUAUACUCCUAUUGUUAUACAAAUGACUCACAUAUACCCUUUUCUUCUAACGGAAAUGAAAAAAUUAACUUUAAUUUAAUUUUUUAAUUAUUUUUUGGAAAAAAAUAUAAUCCAUAUGGGGUAUAUUUGAUCCUCCUCACAUGUAUUUUUUUUACUUUUUUGUUUCAACGACUAAUUUAAAUUUAUUAUUUUGAUGGUCAAAUAUAUUUAUUUUUCACUAAUUUUCUUGUAAAACUUAUUAUAGAUGCCCAUUUUAUUUUUUUUACAAAUACAAAAAUUUAAUUACAAUAUAGCUGAAAAAAAUAGUUUUAAAUUUUUUCUUUACACUAAAGAAUGACUGAAAAAAAAGAAUAAGAAACUCUAAUAAUGAUAAUCAAAGAAGUCAAAAAAUAAUUUUUGAAUGAAAAAAAUUAAAAUAUACCUUGAACUUUGCUAGAAGGAUCAUAUAUAUAGCCCUACAUGAAUUUUUUUUAAAUUUAAAUUCAAAAAAAUAAAAUUAAAACUAAUUUUUUCACUUCCAAUAGAUGAAGGGUAAUGUAAGCUCCUUUCGUAAUAGUAAGCAGGGGCGGAUCUAUAUGUAUGUGUGGGGUGCCACGGCACCCAGUGAUCUCGGUUAAAAUUUCGUAUAUAUAUGUGUAUAUGUUUAAGAAAUCGUUAUAAAUAAAAGUUGCCACCCAUUGAACGAAUUGGUGAUUGGUGCCGUUGGCAAAAGACACAGAUCCAUGCACCCGCAAUGCAGGUCCAAUUCUCACUCUCAACAUUAUAUUUUGGAUGCUUGUAUGAACUGAAGGCUUUCUAAGCUCUUUUUUUUUUUUUUUUUUCCUGUUUUUUCUUGUCUUUUUUUUUCUCGAUUGGUUCUUAUUUAUUUGGUACUAUUCUUUAUUACGUAAUUUAAAUUGACUCCUUUUUUCUGUGAUUAGUUCUUAACUUUUUUUAUUUUCUCUGUCACUAAUUACUGAUCUCUUGAUAUGAAUAUUAUGUGUUUAUUCUUUAUUAAUUAAUGAGUAUUGUAUUAUGAAAGUCACAUAAAUAUUACUACGAAUAUAUUUAAAUUGUUUUUUUUUUAAACAUAAGUUUUAAAAAAUGAUGAAUAUUAUUAUGUUUGAGUUCUUUUAAUUUUAAGGCUAUUCCGAUCUUCACGUUCUUGAUAAGUAAGAUGGUUGGGUUGAAACCAAUUUUUUCUCUACUAUAUUAUAUGCAACAACACAUAAAGACAAUGAAAUACGAAUAUAUUAAGUUAACACAAUUAGAUGGUUUAUACAAAUUUGAAAUUUUAAUGUGGAAAAUCUUUUCUUCCUCAAAGUUUUAGAGAAUGCCUCUAAAUCCAAAAAAAAAAGUUGAAUUGUUUAGUUAUCUCUAAUCUCAGAAUAACUAAAAGAAAAUAUUACUAACAUGCACAUUUAAUCAAUUUAUUUUAUAAAAAUAAAAAAAGAUAAAUAAUCCAAAUUGUAACCCAAAAUUAAAGGAACCGAUCCGUUUAUCUUACUUGGGUGAUGUGGCACCCACGACCUCUAAAUCCUAGAUCCGCCUCUAACAGUAAGGGUAUAUGUGAGUCAUUUGUAUAAUGAUAAGGGUAUCUAUGAGUUACUUUCAUAACGAGGAGUAAAUGACAAAGUUAAGGAAUAUAUCAGACCCUUUUCUCUUUAUUAUACUAGUAUACGUACCAGCGCGUUGCACGAAUAUUUAAAAAUAUAAUAAUUUUUAAAUUUAGAAAAUAACUAAUACAAAUUAUUAGUGAGUAACAAAAGUACAUGUGUAAUCAUAUAUAAUGUUUUAGUUUAUAUAUAUACGCUUCAUGCUAACACAAUUUUACCAUAAUUUAUAUCAAGUUUGUUUUUUGGCAGUUUUAUUUGACAAAAUUUAACAUAAUUAUUUAUCAAAUAAAAAUUAUGUUUUUCUGGAGGUAGUCUUUUUUUAAAAAAAAAAUCAAACUGAAAAAAUUGUUAAUUAUUUUGAUGAGACAUGUGGCUUUAUUUGCAAAAGUAUGAAUUUAUAGUAUUUUAAAUUUAUCCUUCUUAAGAAAUGAUAAUUCGAAAAUCAUUCUAUUACUAACAUAUUUUAUUUUUUUUACAACAUAGAGAUUUGAAAUAUUUAAAGUCAUUUUUAGAUAUAAUACAUGGAUUCACAAACCUUUUAAUCAUGGCAUGAGUCUGAUCUCUGUCUAAAUAAUUAUACACCAAUACAAAUAUAAAACUUAAUACUAUGUAGAAUUUAAAAAGAUAGAUAAAUAAAGACAAAUAAUAAUACAAAUUACAAAUUAGUAGUAUAAUUUUGAGAAAUUAUAUAAAAUUAUAUAUAAAAAUGAUAUGCAUCAACUCAAUGUUAACAUUUUUUUCCUUUGAAUAUUGUGCUAUUCAUGACGAAGACAGUACUUUUGAAAAGAAAAUUGCUUCAUUAAUAUGAGAAAUUGAAAAAAUAUGAUAGUGCGGAGGAAAGGAAAUGGAAAAGUGGGAAUAGUAGGUGGUUUAUAAAAUUGAUUCUUUGUUUUAUUUAUUUUUUACUUAAUACAUAUGCUCAAAUAAAAUGUUUUCUGUAAUAAUAUAUUAGGUAAGGAUAAAAUUAAAAAGUUAUAACAAUUUGUAACCACUUCAUCUUAUAACACUCUUCUCAAUUUUGAAUUAUUAUUAUUAUUUUAUUAAAAAACAAAACUUAUGCAUUAUUUUUAGUAAAACUAAUUAAAUUAUCAAUUCAAAUGUUAAAAAUUCUAUCAAAGACUUUUAAAAAAUUAUAAUUAUUUAUAAUUAUAUAUUUAUCUUUUAAAACUAAUUAAAUUAUUAUAUUGUUGUAAGUUUUCUAUGACUUAAAAAAUAAUCCAUAUAUAGGCCAGGCCACACGUAGGCAGUGGGAGAAUUGUUGUUGUUGUUGUUGUUGUUGUUGUUGUUGUUGUUGUUGUUGUUGUUGUUGUUGUUGUUGUUGUUGUUGUUGUUGUUGUUGUUGUUGUUGUUGUUGUUGUUGUUGUUGUUGUUGUUGUUGUUGUUGUUGUUGUUGUUGUUGUUGUUGUUGUUGUUGUUGUUGUUGUUGUUGUUGUUGUUGUUGUUGUUGUUGUUGUUGUUGUUGUUGUUGUUGUUGUUGUUGUUGUUGUUGUUGUUGUUGUUGUUGUUGUUGUUGUUGUUGUUGUUGUUGUUGUUGUUGUUGUUGUUGUUGUUGUUGUUGUUGUAUUUCUUAUUGUUGUUGUUGUUGUUGUUGUAUUUCUUGUUGUUGUUGUUGUAUUUCUUAUUGUUAUUGUUAUUAUUAUUAUUGUUAUUAGUAUUAUUAGUAUUAUUAUUAUUAGCAUUAUUAUUAGUAUUACUAUUAUUAGUAUUAUUAGCAUUAUUAUUAAUAUUAGUAUUAUUAUUAUUAUUAUUAGUAUUACUAUUAUUAAUGUUAUUAUUAUUAUUAUUAUUAUUAUUAUCAUUACUAUUAUUAUUAUUAUUAUUAUUAUUAUUAUUCUCCCCCUUAUUAUUAUUAUUAUUAUUAUUAUUAUUGUUAUUAUUAUUAUUGUUAUUAGUAUUAUUAGUAUUAUUAUUAUUAGCAUUAUUAUUAGUAUUACUAUUAUUAAUGUUAUUAUUAUUAUUAUUAUUAUUAUUAUUAUUCUCCCCCUUAUAAUAAAAAUGGAUGAUCAAAAAUGUUAAAAAUAAAUAAAUUUUAAAUUUUAAAUUAAUUCUUUUCAAAAUUAAUUAAUUUACCUAAGAAUAUAUACUAUCCAUAAUUGAAUAACCUUCUUAUAUGUUGCAUAUUUUAUGUUCUUGAACCUUUAAUUUUUUAAAGAGAUAUCCAUUUUUAUUUUUAUAAUUAUUUAAGAUUAAAAUAGAUUAUUAAUUUUUGGCGGAAUGGCCUAAGAGUCCCUUGUACUUGACUCGAUUUGUAAGUUGGAUCCCUAUACUUACGACUUUGCCAACUAAACCCUUAAACUCAUUCAAACACAAUAUUUUAGACCCCUUUCUCAUUCGAUGGGUGUGCGUGUAGUACACUCAUUUUACACAUGAAAUACCACGUCAUUUUUUAAUGACACAUCAUUAUCAUUAUUAUUUUUCUAAUGACACAUCAGAAAUUAAAUAUUUAAAAAGAAAUAAAAAAAAUUUUAAAUGCAUCUCUCUCUCUCACUCACUCACUCACUGUACUCAUUUUACCCCCUUCCCACUUCAUCUUCUUUGUUCCCACCUUCUACCAUUUUCAUCCCAAAAAUAAAAACUACAAUUUUCAUCUUUCUUCAUAGUUCACACUUAAAAAUUUCUUCAAUCACAAAAUGUGAUAGAUUAUAAUUAGUUCUUGCAAAUGCUUUAGGAUUCUAUUUAUUUUGAUUUGAUAAAAAGAGAUAUCAAGAAAACUUCAAAUUGAAAAAAAUAUGUGUACAUGUAAAUUCAAGUAAUAGAUCUUAAAGAAUUAAGUUUAUAAAAAUGGUGAAUAAUAUAUUUUCUUGCAAAAAAAAAUUUUAAUUUUUUAUUUGAUGAUUUUAUUGUGAUAAUGUGUACGUCAAAGAUGAAGAAGAAGAAGAGAAAAGGAGUAGGGGCGGGGUAGGGUGGGGAUGGGGGCUGAGGUUGAAGAAGAAGAAGAGAAAAAGGGUGGAGUUGGGUGGGGGCUGAAGAAGAAGAAGAGAGAAGGGGUGGGGUGGAGUGAAGAAGGAGGUUUUCAAUAUUUUUUUAAAAAAAUUAUUAUUAUUGUUUGUCUUAUAAUUUGAUAAAUUUUAAAAUAAAAAUAUUGUAUUCACUUGCUUCAAAAUGCGUGGGGUCACGUAUUUGUCCAACAUAAGCUCGGACAAUGAUUAGAGGGGUUUAAAAAAAUAGAGUUUCAUUGAGUUUAAGGGUUCAUUUGGAAAGGUGAUGAGUAGAAGGGUUCAACUGACAAACGAAGCCAAGUACAGAAGCCUCCCAGGUGAUUCUGCCUUAAUUUUUUCGUGUUUAUUAUUUUGAGUGGAGAUAAAUGAAUUAUUAUGUGCCUAUGAUUUAGGAGAAGAGAUUCUACACUUCUAGGAGUAUUUAAUUAUUAUUUUUUCUUAAAACGUAGCUAUUAAUUAAUUACCUCAAUUUUUGAAAUUCAUCAUUAAAUUAGUGCUCAGAAAUUUAAAACUGAUCUCAAAAAUUUUAAAAAUUAAUUGUAAUAACUUUUGGAGAUAAAUUAAUUAAUUUAAUUGUUAUAGGAGAAAAAAGUUAAUCUUGUAAUUGCUAUUAAUAAUGGGUAAAAAAAGUGAUUUACUCUAUUGUAGUAAAUCAUUUAGUGAGUAUAGAAAUAAAUUUUAAAUUAUAUUGUAUUGAAUAUUUAUGUAAAACAUUGUUAAUAGUAUUCAUAUAGAUUAUCAAAAAUGUAAAAUUAGAAAAUAAAAUCUCAUUAAAUAUAUAAACAAUAAUUAUCAACUUAAAGAUAUUAAGAAGCAUGAGAUCUUUACCACAUUAUGAUAUAUUUUCCAUUAAUAAAAUAAAAUAAAUACAUAGAUUUGGUUAGCUUAUAGAUGAACUUUUGGUAAAUAACUUUUUUUUAUAUUGAGUCUUUAUCUAAUAAUAUCAAUUGCAUCAACAACAAAAUAAACAAUAAUUUUAUAAGAUAUUAUUAUAUUAUCAAAUGAAUGCUACACUUUCAGUAUGUGUAGAUAAUAACUUUGACAAUAUUUCAAAAAUAAGAAUAAAAUUCAGAUUCAAAUUCAAGAAAUUCACACACUAAUCAACCUGCAAAAAAAAAAGUUACAAUCAUUAAAAAUAAUUAAUAAAAAUAGAAAAAAGAAUCAACAAAAAUUAACGAUUUACAAUAAUUAUUGAAAAUAGAUUUUAAUGCUUAAAAAGUUGCAAUAGAUAAAACACAUACACAAAUCUCAUGAUAGUGUUAAUUCUAUAUAUGAAGUUUAUUAUAGUGAUUUUUGUCUCAACAACUACGAAGUCACAUUAAAAGAAGGAGCAAAAUUAAAUCGUCAAAAGAAAAACGAAAAAACGAUAUCAACUUUAAGUAGUAUUUUUCAACAUUUCAAGGAUAAAGAAUAAUAUCAAUUCAACUAUAUAAUUAAAACGACAGAUUAAUUAAAAAUAUUGUAAAUUACUUCUAGUGAUUCGGAAUACCAUAAUCAUAUAACACGAAUAUUCAACUUUUAUUGUAUCUUCAAUAGUUCAUGGACAAAAUAAUUAUGUAAAACUAUAAUUUAUUGAAUACAUUAAAUAAUUAUUAUUUUUUAUGUGUCAAGCUGUAUUAAUUAUACAAAAAUCUUCAUAUUAUCUCACAUCUUAUAUAAACAAAUAAUUAGAAGAGAAUAUUCAUAAAAUUGCAUGGUUUUCACAACAUACAAACGUGGAAAUAAAAUAACCGGCAAAAUUCAAUUUCUAUUCAUGCGAAAUUUGAUCACAUUGGAAUACUUUAUAUACUUUUAUAAAUAAAAAAAGUUAAGGAAGAAACGUAUUCACCAAUAGAUAGAAGAACUAACUAACAUGAAUUAAAGAGAUAUUUAUAAUAAUAAUAAAAAUUAACCUGAAUUAUUUGCUACACAUCUGAAACAUUAAUAAGUAAAAUUCAUGGAGUUUCAUCGUUCAUCUCUUUUUCUGCCAUUUGAAAAUUUUGAAUAUUAGCAUGUCCUAUGAGAUAUGAAGAGAAUUGUGUUUUAAAUAGAUAACUAAGAAGUUUAAACUCCUACAAAAUAGUGAGGAAGUUAAAACUAUUUUCACAACUGCAACUUUUAUCUCUAAAACCGUUUAAUAUUUAAUUUUUAAAUUCAAGUCUUUUAAUUAUUUUAAAAAAACGUGUGUAGGUGUGUUUAUGAGUUAGUGGAGAUUUUUUUUUUAGUUGAGAGAUGGUUUAAAAAAUGUGUUACAACUCUAUUUUUUUAUUACUUCAAUUUUUUUAAUCAGUAAAUAUAGAAUAUAUAUAUUAUAAGUUGUAUUUUUUAAAAAUAUAUAUGUUUAUUUUAAAAUGCAAAUAAGAAAAAAUAAACAGUUACCGUGUUUAAGAUAAUUUUUAAAAUGUUUAAAAUUUUGUGUAUCAAUAAAAAUGGUUUUGCAGUUACAUUUCCCUUAUUUUAAAAAUUAUUUUAAAAUUAUAUAGAUUUAAUUCAUUUUAGAUAUAUAAAAAAUACGCUUUUUGUGGUGCUGACAUGUAGGCGCUAUCACCUCUCAUAUUAUAUAUAGAUAGAUACGUGCUUUGUCAAUCGUAUAAAUGCAAGGCGUCAUGCAUGACAAAAGAAUUAUCCUCAAACAUGUUUUUGUAUCUUUCUUUUGUGGGAAAUUAUAUUACAUUCAAACAUGAAAACGGUAGUGAGUUUGAAUUGUAUAAGGAAUAAACAAAUUCAAUUUAUUAUUGUUUUUCAAAAAAGAGAAUAAAUCAACCGUUUGUAACGAACAUGAUUUAAAAACUGUUUUAAAAUUUUAUUUAGUUUUUAUAUUAUUGUUUAUUAUUUAAUAUGUAUAGAAAUUAAAUUAUUAUUAAUUAUUUAAUAUAAUUAGAAAUUUUGUAGUGCCGACAUGUGGCACUAUUUCCUCUCCUAUUAUAUAUAGAUAGAUACGUGCUUUGUCGAUCGUAUAAAUCCAAGGCGUCAUGCAUGACAAAAGAAUUAUCCUCAAACAUGUUUUUGUAUCUUUCUUUUUCCUCUUUUUUCAAUCUUUACAUGCUCUUUUUAUGGUACACUUUGAAUAAUGGGAGUGACAGUGCCACUUCAUGCAUUACGUUCCCAUUACAAGGAAACUUCUUUGAUUUUAUUUCUAUUUUUUACAAAAAAAAAAAAAAAAACUUAAUUAAUUAACAUUUUAUAAUUUAAUUGGUGAGUUCAAAUUGUCAUUUAGAGCUGAUAUAUUCUUCGUUAUGAUGACUCAUAUAUACAUCUAGCUAUUGUUACACAAAUGACUAACAUAUACCUUUUACCUCUAACAAAAGUGAAAACAUAUUAAUUUUAAAUUAAUUUUUAUUAAUUUCUUAUUAAAAAAUCCAUGUAGGGGUAUAUUUGAUUCUUCUCACACUUUUUUUUUUACUUUCUAAAUUCAGUGGCUAAUUUAAAUUUAUUAUUUUGAUGGUCAAAUUUUUUUCCACUUAUUUUCUUGUAAAAUUUAUUAUAGAUGUCCCAAUUUAUGUUACGAUAUAAAAAAAAUUAAAUUACAAUAUAGCCGUAAAAAGGUAGUUUUAAUUUUUUUUUCUCCUUUUUCAUUCACACUUUUUUUUACACUAAAAAUGAAAGAAAAAAUGAAAUAAGAAUAAGAAAUUCAAAUAAUAAUAAUCAAAGAAGCCAAAAAAAUAAUUUAUGUGUGAAAAAUCAAAUACAUAAAUAUUUUAAUUAUUAAAAAUAAAAAAACAUUAAUUUAAAAUUAUUAUUUAUCACUUUUUGUAGCGGUAGGGGUAUGUGUGAGUCAAUUUUGUAAUGAUAAAUGUAUAUAUGAGCCACUUUUACAGCGAGAGUUAUACCAGCUCUAAAUGACAAAGUUAACGGUAUACUAGACGCUUUUCCCUUAAAUGUAAUUAGUUACACUCUAUUAUAACAAAUAAAUAUAUAUCUUUAUAUUUGAGCAACAAAUAGAAUAAUAAUAUUUUAAUUUACAUAAUCUAAAAAAAAUUGGUGCGAGGGCAAAUAUAAAUUAUUAAUUUUGAAACUAUUAAAUUUAAAAUAUUACUCUCCAAUCUGUAUUAAGUGAUGUUUUUAGCUUAAACCGAUUCAGGAGAGAAGGUGUGAAACCUAAAAGGAGGAGGAAGACUCCACUUCAAUUCAACGUUCUAAAAUAAUAUAAUAUUGACAAGUACUUACACAUCUUCUACGUAAUUUCCCAAUUUCUUGUAUUAAGUGAACAUAUUCUACAGUUAAGUCAUGCUAUUCACACUUGCUUCUACACUAUACCCCUCACUUUUUGAUUUUUCAUAAAUACCUUGAUUAUUUCACAAUCUUAUUUAUAUAUAUAGAUAUACGUCAGAUUUAAUCUCAAAGGCAAUUAAAUAUUUAAUUGUUGAUGCAUUCAAGUUAUUUUGAUAUGAAAGUGGGCAAUUACUUAUUCUCAAACAAGAAUAAUGAUGGGAAUAGUCAUGAUGAUAAUAAUUCUAGGAAUAAUAAGGCAUCAUCAUUGAGGUUGAGAUUCAAAAAUUCGUGUUUGAGGAAGAAGAAGAGGAUAUACAAAUUGCGUAAUUGGUUCAUUGACUCAAUUUUAUUCAAGAUUGUCUCUCUCUUUGAAGCAAUUGUUAUGGUUUCUACCUUAGCUUUCUUCUUAUUCUCUUAUGGUUUUUGUAUUUGAUAUAUUCUCUGUAAACCAAGGGUUCAUUAUUAUUGGACAAAAGUUGAUAUCUAAUGGGGUGUAAGGUUCAUUUGAUUUAUUUAGUUUUCUUUGCUGAUAUUCUCGUGUUUAUACACUAGGGUUCCCAUUUUGCCGUUCAGUUUUUCGAUUUCGACGUUUUCUUUAUUGUUCAUGACUCAAUAAAAUACAUAAUUCAAUAAAUAAGUAAACAACUUAUAUAUAAUAAAUUCGAAGUAUGAAUUCAAGUAAUUACAACAGUUGGGUUUUAAAAUGUGUCAAUGAGAAAUGAAGAGUUGUGACUUUUAUGAAAGGUUGUGACCUUUCCGAAAGAUUGUGGUUUUUCCAAAAGGUUGUGGCAUUUUCGGUAAGGUACAAUAAGAUCAUUUUCACACUACCCUUUGUUUUAUUAUAAAUUGAGGGAUUUCCUCUCAUUUUAAGAGAACCAAUUUUCUGGACUUCUUCUACUAUUACUACUAAAUCUAGUAUUCUAAGUGUAUAUUAUUGUUGUUGAGUGGUUCGCUGACACCGUAGUUUUAGGUACCAAUACACCGGUAAGUAAGAUCGUUCUAUUCUGGGAGGAUAUAUUUCAUUAACCUCGGGUACUUGAGGGGAAUAAUUUCCUUAAGGGGACACUGUGCAUUCAGUGGACUCAAUUUUCUUCUUUAAGAAAAUAUUUUGUAUAUUGUUUCUAAUAUGUUUCUGAUUCUAUUUUCUCUACUAGUUUUAAUUUUCUAGUUUUGAAAAUACUCUUUAAAUGUUGUUGUUUCUUAUCAAGUUCUUCAAAGUUUUUGUUCUAAGUAUCUUAGGAAUACAACAUGACCAACAAUCUUAAGGCAAUUAGUAUAGUACUAUUAAUACUAGAAAACUUGUCCGCGCUUCGCGCGGUAUAACAAUAAUUUAAAAUAAACUUUUUAUAAAUUACCUAUUCAUGAAAUAUAAGUUGCAGUACUUCAAGUUCAUAUGAUUUUUUUUUUUGCCAAAACCCUUAUAUUCAUAAGUUAUAAUAGUUAAUCAAUAAUAAGAAGGACAUUAAUAUUUUGAUAUAUUAUGUUAGCAAAAUAGAAAAUUAAUGAAUCAGAAAUAAUUUAACAAUCUAAAAGUGAUUACUUUUAAAUCUAUAAUACAAUAUGAAUAAAGCUUGAAUUUUGUAGGUCAUCAACUUUUAUUGAAAAAUAAAAAUAAAACUAAAAGUAUAAUAGUACUAUGAAUGACCCAGUAUCGACUAAAAGCAACAUUGAUAUUAAUUUGCUCAAAUCAAAUAAUAAGAAUAUCGACUAAGAACAACAUUGAUACUGGGUCAUUCAUAGAUUAUUUCUUAUUAUUUGAUCUGAGCAAAUUAAUAUCAAUGUUGCUUUUAGUCGAUACUGGGUCAUUCAUAGUACUAUUAUACUUUUAGUUUUAUUUUUAUAUUUCAAUAGACAUUUAAGAACAGCAUUGAUAUACUUAUAACAUAUAGAUAUCGAUCUUUAGUAGAAGAAAUAAUCUAAGAAUUCAAAAUAAAACGAUAAAUCAAAUUCUAUUUAUAUAUUAAAAAAAUACAUUUUUUAUGCAGUUUAUGACAAUUAAUUUUUGAAAUAAAUAAAGAAAUAAAAAAGUAAAAAGAAAAAAGAAAUGAUUUAAGGAAAUGAUACACAUAACAUUAUUGAUGAAUUUAAGGAAAGAAAUUUAAAAAAUUAAUAGCAUCAAUGAUGAAAUGAUUUAAAUAUGGGCGUAUUUGAUAAUUCAAUAAGGUUUUGAGGUAGAAUUUUUAGUCUUUCCAAAAUUUGGAAAAGUAUAAAAAAAAAUAGAAAAAUAAUAAAUAAACUUCCACAUAAUUUUUAACAAUUAGUAAGGAAAAUAUAACAGAAAAUGUCAAAAAAAAUUGAUUAAAAUAAACAAAUAUCUGAAAUAAGAAGGUUGUCAUCUUUUUCUAAUUUUAAUUUUAUUAUUACGCAUAUAUAUGAAUCUUUAGCCGAAAGAAGCGAUAUAAAUUAAAAAAGUUAAAUUUCAUAAAAAAAAAAUAUAUGUGAUUCUUACCAUGUUAUAAUUACUAAUUUCUUGUAAAAAAUAAAUUAAAAAAGGUAAAAGAAUUAUAAAAAAAAAAAGCAUUAAGGAAAUGAUAUGAAUGAAAGUAAUAAUCAAGAUGAAGUAAGAAAAAAUAAUAUGAUUGAUGAUGAAUGGAAUUAAAUGUAGUCACUUUGAUAUUCACUAAAAUUUGAAAGUAAAAUUUUCAGUUUUUUAAAAUAAUUCUUUUUAUAAAAUUUAAAAAACGAAAAAAAAACAAUAAAAUAAAACAAACUUCAAUCAAAGUUAUAUUAAAGAAAUAAAACAAACUUCAAUUAAAUUUCUUCAAUUAAAGUUAUAUAAAAGGGAAAAAAAACUACAAUUAAAGAUAGAUAGGGAAAAAACAUUUUAAGAGAAAAAUAACAAAAAAAAACGGAAAUUAGAAAUAAAUGACAAAUUAAAGUCUAUUUCUGUAUUAAAAAAUGCAUUUUUUAAAAUAAAGUUAUAACAAUUAAUUUUUAAAAUAAAUAAAUAAAAAGAACAAAGAAAGGAAAAAAUUAAUUUAAGGAAAUGAUAUAAAUUACAUUAAUGAUGAGUUUAAGGAAAGAAAAUUUUAAAAAUUAAUAGCAUCUAUGAUGAAAAGGAUUUAAAUAUGGUCAUAUUUUGAUAUUCUGCAAAAUUUUCAAGGUAAAAUUUUCAUUAUUUUUAAAAAAAUAGGAAAAAUGCACAAAAUAAGAAUUAGAAAAAUAAAUAAAUAAACUUCUAGACACAAUUUUUAGCAAUUAUUUUAAGAAAAUAUAAAGAGAAAAAUGUCAUAAAAAUAUGAUAAAAUAAAUAAAUAUAGGUUGUCAUCCUUUUCUAAUUUUAACUUUAUUAUUACGUAUAGAUAUGAAUCUUUUAACAGAAGAAAUGAUCUAUGUUUAAAUAAAAUAAACUAAAUUUCGUAAAAUAUAUAUGCAAUUCUUACCAAUUUAUAAUAACUAUUUUCUUGUAACAAAAAAAUAAAUAAAAAGUAAGAAAGAAAGAAAGAGAAAAAAGCAAUUUAAAGAAAUGAUAUAAAUGAGAAUAAAGAGAUCAAACUAAGGCAAGGAAGUAAAAAAAAAGUAUGAUUAAUGAUGAAUGAAAUUAAAUAUUCAAUAAAUUUGAAAGUGAAAUUUUCAGUCGUUUAAAAUUAAAAAAAAUAUAUUAAAUUUAAAAACAAAAACAAAAAACUACAAAAAUAUAGACAAACUUCUGUUAAAAAUAUAUAAAAGAUAAUAAAACAAACUUUAAUUAAAGAUAGAUAAGGAAAAAUAAAUAAUUAUUAAUUUUGAAUCUGUCAACUUAAAAAUGUUACUCCCUUAAGUCAUACUAGGUGAUGUUUUUAGCUUCGAUAAAUCUAAAAAAGCAUGUGAAAUGUCAUUAAAAAAAUAAUUUAAUUCAACGAUAUAAAAUAAUAUUAACAAGUACGUACAUAUCUUCUACGUGAUUCCCACUUUCUUUGAAUUCACUAUCUCUUUCCUAAAGGGUGCAAUUAAGUCAUGCUAUUCAUAAAGGGUGCAUCCAGCCCCCCACUUUUGAUAAUUCAUAAAUACCUUUUUUCCACAACCUUAUAUAUAGGUACACCAAAACCCCCUCAUUGCCUCAUCAAACUCAUCAUCUAUAUUGUUCUAUAUCCAAAGAAACAAACUAAGUCAAGAAUCCAAGUGAAAAUAGUUGUUACAUUCAAGUUAUUUAGAUAUGAAAGCAGAAGGUUAUUUGUUGUCACUCAAGAUGCUAAACAAGAACAAUAUUGAAAAUAUUAGCGCGCCUAAACGUGUUAGCAAUGUUGGUGGUUCUCAAGAUGAAAAUAAUUGUAGUACUAAGACAUCAUCGUUGAGGUUGAGAUUCAAGAAUUCGUGUUUGAGGAAGAAGAAGAGAAUAUACAAAUUGCGCAAAUGGUUCAUUGACUCAAUUUUAUUCAAGAUUGUCUCUCUUUUUGAAGCAAUUGUUAUGGUUUCUACCUUAGCUUUCUUCUUAUUCUCUUAUGGCUUUCGUAUUUAAUUCUUAUUUGUAUCUAUAUAUAUUCUCUGUAAACAAGGCUUCAUUUUGGACAAAAGUGGAUAUGUAAUGGGGUGUAAGGUUCAUUUGAUUUAUUAAUUUAGUUUUCUUUAUUGAUAUUCUCAUGUUUAUACACUAGGAUUCCCAUUUUUCGAUUUAGACAUUUUCUUUUUUGUUCAUGACUCAAUAAAAUGCAUACUUAAACAAA
Molecule: long non-coding RNA, 39863 nt
Filed under: Solanum tuberosum (potato)
Lineage: Eukaryota; Viridiplantae; Streptophyta; Magnoliopsida; Solanales; Solanaceae
Description: long non-coding RNA (STUB_LNC007935)
Source: RNAcentral